GGUUGCUGCAAAAAAUUAACAAUAGCAGCCCAUGACUGGAAAAAAUUUUGUAAAUGUCACCAUUUAACAAAGGCUUCGAUUGGCAUUUAUAUGAAUUAAUUAAAACGCAAAUAUCUUUUGCAGUCUUGUGGUCCAUCUAAAGUAAAGAAAAAUA
This is a non-coding RNA of Hydra vulgaris (swiftwater hydra), 154 nucleotides long. NCBI's taxonomy places the organism in Eukaryota, Metazoa, Cnidaria, Hydrozoa, Anthoathecata, Hydridae. The record is from RefSeq and is a predicted model, not a curated record.